RNAcentral lists this ribosomal RNA (292 nucleotides) under uncultured bacterium. RNAcentral's name for it is "partial 16S ribosomal RNA". It matches the Rfam family "Bacterial small subunit ribosomal RNA", at positions 773 to 1060 of the family's 1533-position model. The record is from RNAcentral.
GUGGAUUAGAUACCCUAGUAGUCCUAGCCGUAAACGGUGCACGUUUGCUGUAAAAGGAAUCGACCCCUUUUGUGGCGAAGCUAACGCGUUAAACGUGCCGCCUGGGAAGUACGGUCGCAAGAUUAAAACUCAAAGAAAUUGACGGGGGCCUGCACAAGCGGUGGAGUAUGUGGCUUAAUUCGAUGCAACGCGAAGAACCUUACCUGGCCUUGACAUGCAAGUAGUAGAAAGAUGAAAGUCUGACGAGGUAGCAAUACCAGCUUGCACAGGUGCUGCACGGCCGUCGUCAGCU